GGGAAACCGGAUCUAAUACCGGAUAGUAUAUUGAACCGCAUGGUUCAAUAGUGAAAGACGGUUUUGCUGUCACUUAUAGAUGGAUCCGCGCCGCAUUAGCUAGUUGGUAAGGUAACGGCUUACCAAGGCAACGAUGCGUAGCCGACCUGAGAGGGUGAUCGGCCACACUGGAACUGAGACACGGUCCAG
RNAcentral lists this ribosomal RNA (189 nucleotides) under uncultured Staphylococcus sp. RNAcentral's name for it is "partial 16S ribosomal RNA". It matches the Rfam family "Bacterial small subunit ribosomal RNA", at positions 151 to 334 of the family's 1533-position model. The record is from RNAcentral. Lineage: Bacteria; Bacillati; Bacillota; Bacilli; Caryophanales; Staphylococcaceae.